RNAcentral lists this small nucleolar RNA (89 nucleotides) under Candida tropicalis MYA-3404. Its description in RNAcentral is "Small nucleolar RNA snR54". It matches the Rfam family "Small nucleolar RNA snR54". From Rfam's summary of the family: snR54 is a member of the C/D class of snoRNA which contain the C (UGAUGA) and D (CUGA) box motifs. Lineage: Eukaryota; Fungi; Ascomycota; Pichiomycetes; Serinales; Debaryomycetaceae. The record is from Rfam by way of RNAcentral.
UAUCAUGAUGAUUUUUUUUUUAAAUUUUAUUAACUUUCGUUCUACCGAAUUACAUCAAACGAUGUUGGGGAUACAAUUUUUAUCUGAUU